AUCUAAGUACCCCGAGGAAAAGAAAUCAACCGAGAUUCCCCCAGUAGCGGCGAGCGAACGGGGAGGAGCCCAGAGCCUGAAUCAGCAUGUGUGUUAGUGGAAGCGUCUGGAAAGGCGCGCGAUACAGGGUGACAGCCCCGUACACAAAAGCGCAUGUGCUGUGAGCUCGAUGAGUAGGGCGGGACACGUGGUAUCCUGUCUGAAUAUGGGGGGACCAUCCUCCAAGGCUAAAUACUCCUGACUGACCGAUAGUGAACCAGUACCGUGAGGGAAAGGCGAAAAGAACCCCGGCGAGGGGAGUGAAAAAGAACCUGAAACCGUGUACGUACAAGCAGUGGGAGCACCCUUCGGGGUGUGACUGCGUACCUUUUGUAUAAUGGGUCAGCGACUUAUAUUCUGUAGCAAGGUUAACCGUAUAGGGGAGCCGGAGGGAAACCGAGUCUUAAUUGGGCGUUAAGUUGCAGGGUAUAGACCCGAAACCCGGUGAUCUAGCCAUGGGCAGGUUGAAGGUUGGGUAACACUAACUGGAGGACCGAACCGACUAAUGUUGAAAAAUUAGCGGAUGACCUGUGGCUGGGGGUGAAAGGCCAAUCAAACCGGGAGAUAGCUGGUUCUCCCCGAAAGCUAUUUAGGUAGCGCCUCGUGAAUUCAUCUCCGGGGGUAGAGCACUGUUUCGGCUAGGGGGCCAUCCCGGCUUACCAACCCGAUGCAAACUGCGAAUACCGGAGAAUGUUAUCACGGGAGACACACGGCGGGUGCUAACGUCCGUCGUGAAGAGGGAAACAACCCAGACCGCCAGCUAAGGUCCCAAAGUCAUGGUUAAGUGGGAAACGAUGUGGGAAGGCCCAGACAGCCAGGAUGUUGGCUUAGAAGCAGCCAUCAUUUAAAGAAAGCGUAAUAGCUCACUGGUCGAGUCGGCCUGCGCGGAAGAUGUAACGGGGCUAAACCAUGCACCGAAGCUGCGGCAGCGAACGUAUCACCCAAGACAACUUUACGGAGUUGACGAUUGACGGAGCGAAGCGACGUCAAAGCGUUCAUUAAAGUCGAGUUGGCUUAGGGAUACGUUCGUUGGGUAGGGGAGCGUUCUGUAAGCCUGUGAAGGUGUGUCGUGAGGCAUGCUGGAGGUAUCAGAAGUGCGAAUGCUGACAUAAGUAACGAUAAAGCGGGUGAAAAGCCCGCUCGCCGGAAGACCAAGGGUUCCUGUCCAACGUUAAUCGGGGCAGGGUGAGUCGACCCCUAAGGCGAGGCCGAAAGGCGUAGUCGAUGGGAAACGGGUUAAUAUUCCCGUACUUGGUGUUACUGCGAAGGGGGGACGGAGAAGGCUAUGUUGGCCGGGCGACGGUUGUCCCGGUUUAAGCGUGUAGGUGUGUGUUCCAGGUAAAUCCGGUUCACUUUAACACUGAGGCGUGACGACGAGGCACUACGGUGCUGAAGCAACAAAUGCCCUGCUUCCAGGAAAAGCCUCUAAGCAUCAGGUAACAUCAAAUCGUACCCCAAACCGACACAGGUGGUCAGGUAGAGAAUACCAAGGCGCUUGAGAGAACUCGGGUGAAGGAACUAGGCAAAAUGGUGCCGUAACUUCGGGAGAAGGCACGCUGACACGUAGGUGAAGUGAUUUACUCAUGGAGCUGAAGUCAGUCGAAGAUACCAGCUGGCUGCAACUGUUUAUUAAAAACACAGCACUGUGCAAACACGAAAGUGGACGUAUACGGUGUGACGCCUGCCCGGUGCCGGAAGGUUAAUUGAUGGGGUCAGCGCAAGCGAAGCUCCUGAUCGAAGCCCCGGUAAACGGCGGCCGUAACUAUAACGGUCCUAAGGUAGCGAAAUUCCUUGUCGGGUAAGUUCCGACCUGCACGAAUGGCGUAAUGAUGGCCAGGCUGUCUCCACCCGAGACUCAGUGAAAUUGAACUCGCUGUGAAGAUGCAGUGUACCCGCGGCAAGACGGAAAGACCCCGUGAACCUUUACUAUAGCUUGACACUGAACAUUGAGCCUUGAUGUGUAGGAUAGGUGGGAGGCUUUGAAGCGUGGACGCCAGUCUGCGUGGAGCCGACCUUGAAAUACCACCCUUUAAUGUUUGAUGUUCUAACGUGGACCCGUGAUCCGGGUUGCGGACAGUGUCUGGUGGGUAGUUUGACUGGGGCGGUCUCCUCCUAAAGAGUAACGGAGGAGCACGAAGGUUGGCUAAUCCUGGUCGGACAUCAGGAGGUUAGUGCAAUGGCAUAAGCCAGCUUGACUGCGAGCGUGACGGCGCGAGCAGGUGCGAAAGCAGGUCAUAGUGAUCCGGUGGUUCUGAAUGGAAGGGCCAUCGCUCAACGGAUAAAAGGUACUCCGGGGAUAACAGGCUGAUACCGCCCAAGAGUUCAUAUCGACGGCGGUGUUUGGCACCUCGAUGUCGGCUCAUCACAUCCUGGGGCUGAAGUAGGUCCCAAGGGUAUGGCUGUUCGCCAUUUAAAGUGGUACGCGAGCUGGGUUUAGAACGUCGUGAGACAGUUCGGUCCCUAUCUGCCGUGGGCGCUGGAGAACUGAGGGGGGCUGCUCCUAGUACGAGAGGACCGGAGUGGACGCAUCACUGGUGUUCGGGUUGUCAUGCCAAUGGCACUGCCCGGUAGCUAAAUGCGGAAGAGAUAAGUGCUGAAAGCAUCUAAGCACGAAACUUGCCCCGA
RNAcentral lists this ribosomal RNA (2664 nucleotides) under Salmonella enterica subsp. enterica serovar Typhimurium. RNAcentral's name for it is "partial 23S ribosomal RNA". It matches the Rfam family "Bacterial large subunit ribosomal RNA", at positions 200 to 2802 of the family's 2925-position model. The record is from RNAcentral. Lineage: Bacteria; Pseudomonadati; Pseudomonadota; Gammaproteobacteria; Enterobacterales; Enterobacteriaceae.